CAAAUAUUAAAAAAAAGUGUGUGUUCUGGAAUAUGUUCGAUGAGGGGUAAAUAUGCUUUGAGAUUUCCUUUAGUCUUUUUUCAACACUUAUUAUGAGGCUAGCAUUGGUCUAAUGAAGUGGGAAUAAUCUAAAACUUAUUGUGACUGGUGUCGCCGGUCCCCAUAUCCAAAUGAAAUCAAGCCGAGAGAGCAUACAUGUAGUUUUAGGAAGAGGAAAAUACAUGCAAGUGCUUAACGAUCAUCAUCUAACAGCCGAAAAUGUUCGUUUUGAUAAGUUACAUAUGGGGCUCCGUUUGCAUGACUUGACUCUCCCUUGAUUGAUACUCUAACUACCUUUCACCACAGCUCCACUGGCUGGUCAGGACAAGGAUGCUAUGUCAAAUCUAGUAAUGCUCACCAAACAGAGUGCACCUGCAAUCAUUUGACUCAUUUUGCUGUUCUUCUGGACACGUCAUCUGGUUCAGAGACAGCCGGUAUAUCAGAGGAAGACUAAAAGGCCUUGGAAAUUCUCACAUACGUCGGGCUGACUCUCUCUGUCAUUGGGAUCUCAUUGACGAUAAUCAGCUAUGUCACUCUCACAGACAUAAAGGGAACUUUAUCUCAGAUUCGAGUAAGUCUCGUCACCUCUCUUGGUGCAGGACAAGUCAUAUUUCUUGCUGGGAUUGGAGCAACUAAGAACAAGGCAAGAGUCCUGAAAAAGUCAGUGAUUACAGUCAAAAAAAGGAAAGGGCCAAUGGAUACAAAGAUGAAUGAAGCAAUAAAUUCAAUUAGGAAAAGAAAAACAGAAACUUAUCUGAACGAAAACAUAUAUGAUUAUUCGUAGAACAUGAAGCUGACGGGAUUUAAGGGUUUUCAAACAGU
Stylophora pistillata is the source of this 861-nucleotide long non-coding RNA. The record is from RefSeq and is a predicted model, not a curated record. Lineage: Eukaryota; Metazoa; Cnidaria; Anthozoa; Scleractinia; Pocilloporidae.